RNAcentral lists this ribosomal RNA (252 nucleotides) under uncultured bacterium. Its description in RNAcentral is "partial 16S ribosomal RNA". It matches the Rfam family "Bacterial small subunit ribosomal RNA", at positions 524 to 776 of the family's 1533-position model. The record is from RNAcentral.
UACGUAGGUGGCAAGCGUUGUCCGGAUUUAUUGGGUUUAAAGGGUGCGUAGGCGGUUUUUUAAGUCAGUGGUGAAAUACGGCAGCUCAACUGUCGAGGUGCCAUUGAUACUGGGAACUUAGUACUGAUGAGGUAGGCGGAAUGGACGGUGUAGCGGUGAAAUGCUUAGAUAUCGUCCAGAACACCGAUAGCGAAGGCAGCUUACUAAGGAGUAACUGACGCUGAGGCACGAAAAGUGUGGGGAUCAAACAGG